This 523-nucleotide ribosomal RNA is filed under the name uncultured bacterium. Its description in RNAcentral is "partial 16S ribosomal RNA". It matches the Rfam family "Bacterial small subunit ribosomal RNA", at positions 28 to 523 of the family's 1533-position model. The record is from RNAcentral.
GACGAACGCUGGCGGCGUGCCUAAUACAUGCAAGUCGAACGCUUUUUCUUUCACCGGAGCUUGCUCCACCGAAAGAAAAAGAGUGGCGAACGGGUGAGUAACACGUGGGUAACCUGCCCAUCAGAAGGGGAUAACACUUGGAAACAGGUGCUAAUACCGUAUAACACUAUUUUCCGCAUGGAAGAAAGUUGAAAGGCGCUUUUGCGUCACUGAUGGAUGGACCCGCGGUGCAUUAGCUAGUUGGUGGGGUAACGGCUCACCAAGGCAACGAUGCAUAGCCGACCUGAGAGGGUGAUCGGCCACACUGGGACUGAGACACGGCCCAGAAUCCUACGGGAGGCAGCAGUAGGGAAUCUUCGGCAAUGGACGAAAGUCUGACCGAGCAACGCCGCGUGAGUGAAGAAGGUUUUCGGAUCGUAAAACUCUGUUGUUAGAGAAGAACAAGGAUGAGAGUAAAACGUUCAUCCCUUGACGGUAUCUAACCAGAAAGCCACGGCUAACUACGUGCCAGCUGCCGCAGUAA